Molecule: unclassified non-coding RNA, 378 nt
Filed under: uncultured fungus
Lineage: Eukaryota; Fungi
Description: sequence contains ITS1
Rfam family: 5.8S ribosomal RNA (bases 1-106)
Source: RNAcentral
GAAAUGCGAUACUUGGUGUGAAUUACAGAAUCCCGUGAACCGUCGAGUAUUUGAACGCAAGUUGCGCCGAGGCCUUUGGGUCGAGGGCACGCCUGCCUGGGCUUCACGCCGGGCAUUGAACCGCACCAACCGCCCUCCUGGGCAGGGUGGGGAUUCAGUGAUUGGCCCCUCGUGCACUCAAGCACGAUGGGCUUAAGAGAGGGCUGACAGUCGGGUCGGCACGACGAGUGAUGGAUUUGGUGCCAACAGGAUGUCGUGUCCCCGGUCGUCGAAGAGCCGGAGACACCCGGUUCGGGCCUGCAGAUGCGCUUUCACCCGGGAGGGCUCACCACCUCGCAACGUGACCCUAGGUCAGGCGGGGACACCCGCUGUGUUUAA